RNAcentral lists this ribosomal RNA (429 nucleotides) under Chloroflexota bacterium. RNAcentral describes it as "Chloroflexi bacterium partial 16S ribosomal RNA". It matches the Rfam family "Bacterial small subunit ribosomal RNA", at positions 355 to 776 of the family's 1533-position model. The record is from RNAcentral. Lineage: Bacteria; Bacillati; Chloroflexota.
UAGGGAAUCUUCGGCAAUGGACGAAAGUCUGACCGAGCAACGCCGCGUGAGUGAAGAAGGUUUUCGGAUCGUAAAACUCUGUUGUUAGAGAAGAACAAGGACGUUAGUAACUGAACGUCCCCUGACGGUAUCUAACCAGAAAGCCACGGCUAACUACGUGCCAGCAGCCGCGGUAAUACGUAGGUGGCAAGCGUUGUCCGGAUUUAUUGGGCGUAAAGCGAGCGCAGGCGGUUUGUUAAGUCUGAUGUGAAAGCCCCCGGCUCAACCGGGGAGGGUCAUUGGAAACUGGGAGGCUUGAGUGCAGAAGAGGGGGGUGGAAUUCCAUGUGUAGCGGUGAAAUGCGUAGAUAUAUGGAGGAAAACCAGUGGCGAAGGCGGCUGUCUGGUCUGUAACUGACGCUGAGGAUCGAAAGCGUGGGGAGCAAACAGG